AACAAACCAAAUUUUCACUUUUUAUCUAUAAUAUUUGACUCUUUAUCUUAUUAAAAAAAUUACGAUUAAUAUUUUUAUUUUUAUUAGAUGAUAAAUUAUGAAUAAUACUUAACGUGUGAUUAUUUUUUUUUAAUUUUUUAAAAAAGAUUCAAAAAAGACGGAUGGUUAAAUGUUAGACACAGGAACCUGUGGGACGGAGA
This 200-nucleotide microRNA precursor is filed under the name Oryza brachyantha (malo sina). Its description in RNAcentral is "MIR812 microRNA precursor family". It matches the Rfam family "MIR812 microRNA precursor family". Lineage: Eukaryota; Viridiplantae; Streptophyta; Magnoliopsida; Poales; Poaceae. The record is from Rfam by way of RNAcentral.